AUUGAACGCUGGCGGCAUGCCUUACACAUGCAAGUCGAACGGCAGCACGGGAGCAAUCCUGGUGGCGAGUGGCGAACGGGUGAGUAAUAUAUCGGAACGUGCCCAGUAGUGGGGGAUAACUGCUCGAAAGAGCAGCUAAUACCGCAUACGACCUGAGGGUGAAAGGGGGGGAUCGCAAGACCUCUCGCUAUUGGAGCGGCCGAUAUCAGAUUAGCUAGUUGGUGGGGUAAAGGCCUACCAAGGCAACGAUCUGUAGUUGGUCUGAGAGGACGACCAGCCACACUGGGACUGAGACACGGCCCAGACUCCUACGGGAGGCAGCAGUGGGGAAUUUUGGACAAUGGGCGCAAGCCUGAUCCAGCAAUGCCGCGUGCAGG
RNAcentral lists this ribosomal RNA (377 nucleotides) under uncultured bacterium. RNAcentral's name for it is "bacterial SSU rRNA". It matches the Rfam family "Bacterial small subunit ribosomal RNA", at positions 30 to 407 of the family's 1533-position model. The record is from RNAcentral.